RNAcentral lists this unclassified non-coding RNA (1891 nucleotides) under Hevea brasiliensis (rubber tree). Lineage: Eukaryota; Viridiplantae; Streptophyta; Magnoliopsida; Malpighiales; Euphorbiaceae. The record is from RNAcentral.
GGGGGAAGUAGUGGAUCAUUAAGAUGGGUUGAUGGUAGUGAAGUAAAUGAUAAUCAAGAAGAAGUUUAUGAUAAAAAUGAAGAGAUUAUUAGAGAAAAUAAUUAUGGAUCUGUUAGAAGAAGGCUUAAAAAGCCAAAAAGAGUGGAUUCUUUGGAUGUUGAAUCUAUGCAAAUUAAAGGAGGGAAUGGUGGUAGCCAACAUAUAAAGGAUGUGCCUCUUUUAGCUACUCUUUCUCUAGCAUUUCAAACACUUGGUGUGGUAUAUGGUGAUAUGGGAACAAGUCCUUUAUAUGUUUUCUCAGAUGUAUUCAGUAAGGUUCACAUCACUUCAGAAGUUGAUGUCUUAGGUGCAUUGUCGAUUGUGUUAUACACAAUCGCGCUCAUUCCUCUAAUGAAGUAUGUGUUUAUCGUGCUUAAGGCCAACGACAAUGGUGAAGGAGGAACAUUUGCGUUGUAUUCAUUGAUCUGUAGGUAUGCAAAUGUCAAUCUUCUUCCUAAUCGUACGCCUGCUGAUGAAUGUAUCUCGAGUUUUAAGCUCAGAUUGCCUACUCCAGAGCUACAAAGAGCUGUGUAUAUAAAGGAGAUAUUGGAACGUAAAUCGUUGUUGAAAACGAUUCUAUUGCUUUUGGUUCUGAUGGGAACAUCAAUGAUAAUUGGAGAUGGUAUCUUGACACCAGCAAUAUCAGUUAUGUCUGCUGUUAGCGGACUGGAGGGUAGGAUACCGGGAUUUAAUACAGAUGCUCUCGUAAUAAUUUCAAUUAUCAUCCUUGGCGGGUUGUUCAGCAUACAGAGAUUUGGGUCAAGUAAAGUUGGUUUCACUUUUGCUCCUGCUCUAGCAUUGUGGUUCUUCUGUCUGGGUUCGAUAGGAAUUUACAAUCUGCUGAAGUUUGAUGUAACUGUUGUAAGGGCAGUAAAUCCAACUUAUAUCUAUCUGUUCUUUAAGAAGAACUCGACCAACGGAUGGUCAGCUCUUGGUGGUUGCGUAUUAUGCAUAACAGGAGCAGAAGCAAUGUUUGCGGAUUUAGGUCAUUUUUCUGUGCUGUCUAUACAGGUGUUUUUGCCAUUGUCCCUUCACAUUCAUAUACUUGACUUAACAUAAUAUCUAACAGCACACGCUUCAUUUCUGAUGCAAGUUGUCUCGUGCAGAUUGCCUUCACGAGCGUGGUGUUCCCCUGCCUUCUGUUAGCUUACUUGGGCCAAGCUGCUUUUCUUAUGAAAUACCCUCAAUCAGCUGGCAGAAUAUUUUAUGAUUCAGUCCCAAAUACUUUCUUCUGGCCAGUUUUUGUGAUAGCAACUAUAGCUGCAAUAAUUGCCAGUCAGGCUAUGAUAUCUGCUUCAUUUUCAUGUGUUAAGCAAGCUAUGGCUCUCGGAUGCUUCCCGAGGGUGAAGAUUAUUCACACCUCAAAAGAGCAUAUGGGGCAAAUCUACAUUCCAGUAAUCAAUUGGUUCCUGAUGAUAAUGUGCAUGCUUGUGGUUGCUGCAUUUAGAAGCACAACAAGUAUAGCCAACGCAUACGGUAUAGCUGAGGUCGGUGUCAUGAUGGUUACGACGACUUUGGUUACAAUUGUUAUGGUACUGAUAUGGCAGACAAAUUUGAUUUUGGCUUUGUGUUUCCCCUUAAUAUUUGGAACAAUGGAGGUUGUGUACAUGUCUGCUGUUUUAUCAAAGAUCUUAGAAGGAGGUUGGCUUCCACUCGUUUUCGCCUCUCUGUUCCUCUGUGUGAUGUACAUAUGGAACUAUGGAAGUGUACUGAAAUAUCAAAGUGAAGUUAAGCAAAAAAUCUCAUUGGAUUUCAUGGAUGAACUUGGGUGUAGUUUAGGUACAGUAAGAGUACCAGGGAUAGGCUUACUCUAUAAUGAACUAGUUCAAGGCAUUCCAUCGAUUUUUACGCA